GCUGUUUGUGGGAGAGCUCAUGGUGGCAGGGUGACUGGGGUCCUCUGCCCUCCUCUGUGUGUGCACUCAUGGCUUUCUCGAGGCAGUCUGUGGGUAAAAGCUGAGACGCUGCUGAGCGACGGUGUCUGUGCAGAGAGCUGAGGCGACGGGCCACGGCUUGCCCCGGGGAAUGGGUUCCCUCCCCUUGCCCUGCUUCCUUCCUGCUUUGUGGAAUGGGAUUGUCACAGCACCGCCCUCGGGACGACGCUGGAAGGAUUGAAUGAGACAAAGCACAUCCAGGGAUGAACAUCAUAGGAGCCCAAGACAUGUCAGCACUUGUUAGGGUCAUUAUAACUAGAGGUGCCCAGUGCCAAAGCCAGAAGGUUCUCACCAAAGAGGCAGAGACUUGGGCAGACAUGUGGUUUACAUGCUCACCAUCACGACACCACACAAUUGUCCCCAGUUCCUCAGACUUCAGACCUGGGAUGAGGAGUGCAGAGAUAUAUAAGGAAGGGUGUUCAUUUCAGCAAAGGCCUGGAACUAACUGAAAUGUCCAUUAAGAGGGGAACAGUGGUUCAUCCGGACAAUGGAAUCAUAGUGGAUAAACAGAAACUAGUGACAUGAAAAUGCACCAAUCUGGAAAAAUCUCCAAGACAGACUGCUAAGCAGAAAAAUUAAUAAUAAAGCAGCAUGACUGGCAUGAUUCCACUCUGUAAGAAAAUGCAUGACUAUGUUUGAACCAGUGUACAUCCACACAGCUCCGCCUCCGUAAUCUUGGGAAAAGGAUACGAAAGAUUCAUAUGCUAUGUUUGGAGGCUUUUACUUCUUCAUUCAUGUACUUGACAAAAAAGCUAUGGGAGUAUGGGUAUUUAGCCUUAGCCUUUCUGUUUUCUUUUCAGUAUAAAAUCUGCAAUAGCUAAGAAUUAUGGUAGAUGUGUAUACAUAAAUAUGGAAAGAUUUCCACACUACUAAAAAAAGGCACAUCAGAGAAAAAUGUAUAUGGCUUGGCACUAUUUCUGUAAAGUAAAUCCUAC
This is a long non-coding RNA of Pan paniscus (pygmy chimpanzee), 1013 nucleotides long. The record is from Ensembl. Lineage: Eukaryota; Metazoa; Chordata; Mammalia; Primates; Hominidae.